GCUCUAGCGACAUAUUUUGCUCGCAGGUGGAGCACGCGCAGUGCGCACGUGCGUCGUCUGUGAAGAUUGCAGGGCAAAGCUUGAGCAAUGACUCGGUUUGCUCGGUACUCAACGAAAGGCAUCAAGAAGCCUCCAUUAGAUGCUACGCCAUGGUCAGAAAUGGCACCUCCAUCAGCUGAGAAACACUCGGCUGCAGCUGCUGGUGCCUUCAAAUGCCUCUGUUGUCAAAAAACCUGUGGCAACUCUGAAAGGUAGUGGCAAGAAAGCCAAGGGAAAGUUGUCAGCUCAGCUAGAUCACUUCAGGACAGCAUCCACUGGCAAGAAAAAGGGAAAAAAUAGAUGCAAAGCGUCUGAGUCUGCCACAAGAAUUCUCGGAUGAUGUUGACUAUUCCAGCAAAUCUGAUGCAGAUGACUCAAUGGAAGCUGAGUCACCAAA
Molecule: long non-coding RNA, 436 nt
Organism: Amphibalanus amphitrite
Lineage: Eukaryota; Metazoa; Arthropoda; Thecostraca; Balanomorpha; Balanidae
Exons: 2
Source: RefSeq, a predicted model, not a curated record